Molecule: ribosomal RNA, 468 nt
Filed under: uncultured bacterium
Lineage: Bacteria
Description: partial 16S ribosomal RNA
Rfam family: Bacterial small subunit ribosomal RNA
Source: RNAcentral
GACGAACGCUGGCGGCGUGCUUAACACAUGCAAGUCGAACGGAAAGGCCCUGCCUUUGUGGGGUGCUCGAGUGGCGAACGGGUGAGUAACACGUGAGUAACCUGCCCUUGACUUUGGGAUAACUUCAGGAAACUUGGGCUCAUACCGGAUAGGAGCUCUUGCUGCAGGGUGGGGGCUGGAAAGUUUCGGCGGUUGGGGGUGGACUCGCGGCUUAUCGGCUUGUUGGUGGGGUAGUGGCUAACCAAGGCUAUGACGGGUAGCCGGCCUGAGAGGGUGAACGGCCACACUGGGACUGAGAUGAGGCACAGACGCCAACGGGAGGCAACGGUGGGGAAUAGUGCACAAGGGGCGGAGGGCUAGUGCAGCAACGCCGCGUGCGGGAUGACGGCCUUGGGGUUGUAAACCGCUUUCGCCUGAGACGAAGCGUGAGUGACGGUAACGGGUAAAGAAGCACCGGCUAACUACGUG